This 209-nucleotide ribosomal RNA is filed under the name uncultured Latescibacterota bacterium. RNAcentral's name for it is "uncultured Latescibacteria bacterium partial 16S ribosomal RNA". It matches the Rfam family "Bacterial small subunit ribosomal RNA", at positions 568 to 775 of the family's 1533-position model. Lineage: Bacteria; Pseudomonadati; Candidatus Latescibacterota. The record is from RNAcentral.
CGUGUAGGCGGUCAGGUAAGUGGAAUGUGAAAUGCCCCGGCUCACCCGGGGACCGGCAUCCCAAACUGCCUGGCUUGAGUAUGGGAGAGGAUGGAGGAAUUCCUGGUGUAGCGGUGAAAUGCGUAGAUAUCAGGAGGAACACCGGUGGCGAAGGCGUCCAUCUGGCCCAAUACUGACGCUGAGGGCGCGAAAGCUAAGGGAGCAAACGG